UUACCAUAAACCACAGAGUUCUGCAGUACAAGUGGCCAAAAUCGUAGCCGUCACUAUUGUCCUGGUGUCUUUCGUGCUCGGUAGUUUCCUGCUAGCUUCUGCCUACGUCACAGCUAACGCUUCCUGUAGGCAGCUGGAGCAAGACCUCGAGCUGCUGAGCGAGGUAGCUGACAAAUUCGACGGACAGAAUCAGGGACCACUUCAACCAGAAGCUUUAAUCCAGGAAGAACCAACGGCUAAAACUGGCAAUAAACGCCAAGUCGACGCCUUGAAGAAAGAGGCUUCAAAGACCAAAGAGAUU
Molecule: long non-coding RNA, 301 nt
Organism: Sitophilus oryzae (rice weevil)
Lineage: Eukaryota; Metazoa; Arthropoda; Insecta; Coleoptera; Curculionidae
Exons: 2
Source: RefSeq, a predicted model, not a curated record